RNAcentral lists this ribosomal RNA (438 nucleotides) under Triticum aestivum (bread wheat). RNAcentral describes it as "partial small subunit ribosomal RNA". Lineage: Eukaryota; Viridiplantae; Streptophyta; Magnoliopsida; Poales; Poaceae. The record is from RNAcentral.
AUGCCGCUCUGGACCCUGGAGGGCGUGAAGGAGGUGCUGGGCGACGCGGUCAUCAUUGACCGCCUCGACAGCCGCACGUUCGAGCGUGCGGACACGAAGCUGUUCGCCGUCUGGGUGUGCGUGUGGCAGCUGCACCACAUCCCCACCACGCGAACCCUGUGGAAGCAUGCCAGAGGGGCUGACCGGGUGGAGGAGAUGAUCGGCUUCUCGCCUCUAAGUCGGGUCGUUGCGCCGCCGCCGGACCUGCUACGCUGGGAUGUGCUGGUGCACAUCGACCGAGUUGAAGACUGGGCGCCCCUGUCCCCGCGCUCCUCCCACUCCGGGCAGAGCGGACUCCCGUCCUCUGACGACGACGAUCACCCGUACCCGCGCUUCCCGCAUGCGGGGGGCUGGGUUGCCGGCGUGGAGGACGGCAGGCCGUCGCAAGACCUGGGGUAG